UGUGUUUUAUGGGCGUCUGGUGCUGCUGUUGUGGCUGUCUUGACAUCCUGCUUCUUGGUUCUCCGCUCGACUGAGGCACUGCGGAUAAAAACAUCUACUGGACUUGGGGAUAUUUGUUUCUUCCUGUCUGCCUGCAUGACAAGAAUUAAAACCAUUUGGAGCCUGUUGUUAAACAUACCUGAAAGACCUGAGUUUCUACUUUGUCCCACAAGCAUCACGUCAGAGGAGGAAACUGCUAGGGCUGAUCCCAGCAACAAGGACAACAUAAUACAUAGAAUUUGGUAUGCUGACCUAUGGAUAAGUUAAAUACUUUUUAUCUAACUCAUUUUAUUGAGCUAGGGGGAAGGAUGGGAAACGCAAUAUACAUGACUUUGAAUAUAGUAUCUCUUGGCUUUACAGAGAAUAGACAGAAAAAGAGAAUCUCUAGUGAGGCGUAGUUCUGUGAAUGACAACACCUUGAUGAUGUCAGAGGAAUGCAUAGACUGGUAGGAGAUGAUAGAAAGCAACAGUAGCUGAAACAUCAAAACCUGCAUGAUAUUGUUGCUGACUAUGUCCAUCCCUUUAUGACUUCAGUGUACCAAUCUUCUUAUGGCUAUUUCCGACAAGAUAAUAACGAAGUCACAAAGUUAUAAUAAUGUAAAACUGGUUUCUUGAACACAACAGCAACACUGCAGCUAAAAUGUGCUCCACACAGGGGCAGGAAUUCCAUUUUAUUGCUGGGAGGAACAAUAAACAGUUUUCUCAAGCAAUUUGGGGGGUGCCAAAGUUACAGAGAAAUGUAAUGUUGUAAAAUGUAUAGAUGGAACCUUUAUUAGUUUUGUAUACAAUAUAGUAAAUAAUUGGCAAUUGCAGUAGUUGAAGUGACAUGGCUGAAUGUAUUUAACAAUCAUAUUAAUAGUAAUAUUAAAUAUUAGAAUUCUCUAAUUAAAAAACUGCAAGUCACCAAAGGGUAAUUAUUACCAUCUGAAUCAUAAUUGGCAUUUCUUUCUUUCUUUCUUUCUUGAAAACCUAUCACUUGAAGGGUUAAAUAUUUUAUAUAUAUAUAUAUAUAUAUGGGGUCUAAUUAAUUUUUUAGGAAGUGGAAGUAAAUAAAUUGUGUUAUGUGUUCUGUUUUAAGAAGGUACUUACAGGAGGUCAGUUAUUUGAGCUUUGUAGACACAGCUCCUCUGCUCCUCAGAUACGACAGCUGUGUCUGUUUGUUGGUACAAUGGAGGGGAAAGUAUAAAUGUAUCGUUUUGCCUAGAUGAAUGAUGGAUUUAUUUUUUUUAACCAAUACACUUUUUAUCCAAAACACACUUGCUUAUUUGGACCCUCCUCUGGGAACCACAACAACAGAGCACCUUUAAGCCUUGAUAGAGUGGCAUCAUGGAUGUGUAGCUGAAAAAUCUGUGGCAAACGUAGACCAAAAUCUCUGAGGAAUGUUUCCUGCACCUUUUUGAAUCUAUGCAUUGAAGAAUUAAGGAGGUUCUGAAGCCAAAAGGGGGUCCAACCCAAUAUUAGCAGAGUGUACUGAAUAAAGGAGGUGUGUAAGUUG
Girardinichthys multiradiatus is the source of this 1534-nucleotide long non-coding RNA. RefSeq lists it as uncharacterized. The transcript has 2 exons. The record is from RefSeq and is a predicted model, not a curated record. Lineage: Eukaryota; Metazoa; Chordata; Actinopteri; Cyprinodontiformes; Goodeidae.